UGGGGAAUAUUGGACAAUGGGCGAAAGCCUGAUCCAGCAAUGCCGCGUGAGUGAUGAAGGCCUUCGGGUUGUAAAGCUCUUUUACCCGGGAUGAUAAUGACAGUACCGGGAGAAUAAGCCCCGGCUAACUCCGUGCCAGCAGCCGCGGUAAUACGGAGGGGGCUAGCGUUGUUCGGAAUUACUGGGCGUAAAGCGCGCGUAGGCGGCUUUGUAAGUUAGAGGUGAAAGCCCGGAGCUCAACUCCGGAACUGCCUUUAAGACUGCAUCGCUAGAAUUGUGGAGAGGUGAGUGGAAUUCCGAGUGUAGAGGUGAAAUUCGUAGAUAUUCGGAAGAACACCAGUGGCGAAGGCGACUCACUGGACACAUAUUGACGCUGAGGUGCGAAAGCGUGGGGAGCAAACAGG
RNAcentral lists this ribosomal RNA (404 nucleotides) under Acidobacteriota bacterium. RNAcentral describes it as "Acidobacteria bacterium partial 16S ribosomal RNA". It matches the Rfam family "Bacterial small subunit ribosomal RNA", at positions 355 to 776 of the family's 1533-position model. The record is from RNAcentral. Lineage: Bacteria; Pseudomonadati; Acidobacteriota.